RNAcentral lists this ribosomal RNA (1166 nucleotides) under Bacillus australimaris. RNAcentral's name for it is "bacterial SSU rRNA". It matches the Rfam family "Bacterial small subunit ribosomal RNA", at positions 18 to 1182 of the family's 1533-position model. Lineage: Bacteria; Bacillati; Bacillota; Bacilli; Caryophanales; Bacillaceae. The record is from RNAcentral.
CCUGGCUCAGGACGAACGCUGGCGCGUGCCUAAUACAUGCAAGUCGAGCGGACAGAAGGGAGCUUGCUCCCGGAUGUUAGCGGCGGACGGGUGAGUAACACGUGGGUAACCUGCCUGUAAGACUGGGAUAACUCCGGGAAACCGGAGCUAUACCGGAUAGUUCCUUGAACCGCAUGGUUCAAGGAUGAAAGACGGUUUCGGCUGUCACUUACAGAUGGACCCGCGGCGCAUUAGCUAGUUGGUGGGGUAAUGGCUCACCAAGGCGACGAUGCGUAGCGACCUGAGAGGGUGAUCGGCCACACUGGGACUGAGACACGGCCCAGACUCCUACGGGAGGCAGCAGUAGGGAAUCUUCCGCAAUGGACGAAAGUCUGACGGAGCAACGCCGCGUGAGUGAUGAAGGUUUCGGAUCGUAAAGCUCUGUUGUUAGGGAAGAACAAGUGCGAGAGUAACUGCUCGCACCUGACGUACCUACCAGAAAGCCACGGCUAACUACGUGCCAGCAGCCGCGGUAAUACGUAGGUGGCAAGCUUGUCCGGAAUUAUUGGGCGUAAAGGGCUCGCAGGCGGUUUCUUAAGUCUGAUGUGAAAGCCCCCGGCUCAACCGGGGAGGGUCAUUGGAAACUGGGAAACUUGAGUGCAGAAGAGGAGAGUGGAAUCCACGUGUAGCGGUGAAAUGCGUAGAGAUGUGGAGGAACACCAGUGGCGAAGGCGACUCUCUGGUCUGUACUGACGCUGAGGAGCGAAAGCGUGGGGAGCGAACAGGAUUAGAUACCCUGGUAGUCCCGCCGUAAACGAUGAGUGCUAAGUGUUAGGGGGUUUCCGCCCCUUAGUGCUGCAGCUAACGCAUAAGCACUCCGCCUGGGGAGUACGGUCGCAAGACUGAAACUCAAAGGAAUUGACGGGGGCCCGCCAAGCGGUGGAGCAUGUGGUUUAAUUCGAAGCAACGCGAAGAACCUUACCAGGUCUUGACAUCCUCUGACAACCCUAGAGAUAGGGCUUUCCCUUCGGGGACAGAGUGACAGGUGGUGCAUGGUUGUGUCAGCUCGUGUCGUGAGAUGUUGGGUUAAGUCCCGCAACGAGCGCAACCCUUGAUCUUAGUUGCCAGCAUUCAGUUGGGCACUCUAAGGUGACUGCCGGUGACAAACCGGAGGAAGGUGGGGAUGA